Long non-coding RNA from Triticum dicoccoides, 1838 nucleotides. RefSeq lists it as uncharacterized. Lineage: Eukaryota; Viridiplantae; Streptophyta; Magnoliopsida; Poales; Poaceae. The transcript has 7 exons. The record is from RefSeq and is a predicted model, not a curated record.
CCGACAUCAUUCUGAAGGUACCUUGAUGAUUCCAUCGCUGGUGGUGAUCAAGUAGAUACCUGAUAAGGUUCUGCCCAUCUAAGGAAGAAGUGGAGCUGCCCAAACCUCAAAGGUUAUACAUGCAACAAGGAGAAUCUAGGAAAUUGGCAACUGGUGCACAAGAUUCGCCUCCUGCCCUGCUCUUUCGGUGGCUGAUUCUUCUUCGACUCCGCUGUAGGCGUCAAGUCUCUCCUCUGCUCCCUCAUGCCUGUGUGCCCAUGGCCAUCGAGUUGUGCCAAGUCGAUUGGGAUGCCUGCAUUGAGCCACUCAUUAUGCUGAUCAGCAGCAUCUAGCCUAACUGUGUGCCAGGCAAGAAGAUGCAUGUGGAGCAUUCUGUGGACAGUGGGAACUUGCUGGCCCCCACAUACCUCCUUGACCAUGGUGCUAAUAUCAGCCAGGAAGGGGAAGAAGGGGCCACUGUUCCCGGCUGCAAAAAUGUGAUGAGCAAUGUGGUGAAGCAACAACCAAACUCCAAGGUAGGGCGCGCCCUAUGAUAGCGAAAUGAUGACAAAGGUGAAUGGGUCCUGGUGAACAUCCCAUGAUUGAUGCUGCUUUCAGGACCAUGGUGCUGUCUGGCACAAGUUUGGCCAGCGAAGCAGUUUUUCCUGCUCCGGCGAUCACUCUGACGCCUCCUGUUCUGCCCCUCCAGUGGUUGCUUCCUCUUCGGUUCCGGCAUAGCCCCUGCUACAAAUUUUUGAGGGCCCUCAUCACCAACUAUCGAAGACAUAUGGCGCCCUGGAUGCAGUUGAUCCAUCCAUCCGUCUCCAAGAGGAAGACGUGGAGGAAUGAAAGAAGAUGGCGAUCUCUAUGAGCUGAUGCAGUUGAUCCAUCAGUCCAUCCACAACUGUUCAUCAGAGGAGAAGGGCCUCUUCUCUUCAUCAACACCAAGAGCAACCACGACCCAGCACUCAAGCACAGGUACCCCUUAUUCAUCCCCACCAAAUCUUAAUCUAUUAUACCAUUACUACCAAGACUAGGAGUGGGAGGUGCAUACAUAUAUCAUUCAGAAUUAGGAUGACCAUACAUUUGUUGGUACGAACGAUGCUUUGAUUUGUCAUUUCUAGUAGUAUGAUCCUCAAAUGAAGUGGCAUGGGAUAAGCAGGUAGUGUAAAGUAGUAUGUCUUGACCUUGACAUAAAGAAGUUGAUUUCUUGCUUAUAACAUUUUAUUCAGCCCGAAAACAUCCUUGAUGUGCUCUUUUUUUUGUUGCGCAUGAGCAACUGGCUGGAUGCCGGAAGAAGCAAAGAUAUCGCUGCUGAAGCAGCACCUUCAAACAUCCAGAAGAGACGGCCUUAGAAGACUAUUGAUCACUGCUUUGUUUGAGGAGAGAUGAAGCUUCUUAUCCUUCCUGGUGGAAGCAGUUCCCCAAGCGCUGGACUAUCGUCGUCCUCUGCUUGCUUCUUCUCCUUCCUGCUCUGCAACAUGGACCUUUUGCGAUGAGUACAAAGUGGUUGGUGAAGUGGCUACGGAUAAGAUCAAAAUCCUGCGAGCACUACUUUGUCACCACCCAGGUUUCUGAUCUCAGGGCGAGGCUACAGGAGGUAUGAAGAAUGGCCAUGCUUUUAUAUUCAACAUAAGGAAGGUUUGUCUUGGUUCAUUCAACCUGAAGAAUGACAACACAUGGAACGACCAACUGUGAGAAGUGGAAGCUUAUUUAGUUUGUGGUGGCGUUGGGUUAGCUUGUUAGCUGUGUUUGGCUUUUGUUGAGGAAAAGAUUUGGUCGGAUGAUGAUAUGGAACCUUUCAUCCAAUCCAGUGUAAUGACUUGACUUGCGAGUGCAUGAAUGAAUUUUGUAAUGAA